RNAcentral lists this ribosomal RNA (477 nucleotides) under uncultured bacterium. RNAcentral describes it as "bacterial SSU rRNA". It matches the Rfam family "Bacterial small subunit ribosomal RNA", at positions 365 to 832 of the family's 1533-position model. The record is from RNAcentral.
UUCGCAAUGCCCGAAAGGGUGACGAAGCGACGCCGCGUGUGGGAAGAAGGCCUUCGGGUUGUAAACCACUGUCGGGAGUUAAGAAAUGUAAGAAUGUUAAUAGCGUUCUUACUUGACUAAGGCUCCGGAGGAAGCCACGGCUAACUCUGUGCCAGCAGCCGCGGUAAUACAGAGGCGGCAAGCGUUGUCCGGAAUUAUUGGGCGUAAAGAGCACGUAGGCGGCUUUGUAAGUCGGUUGUGAAAGCCUUCUGCUUAACGGAAGAACAGCAGUUGAAACUACAGGGCUUGAGUGUGGGAGAGGAGAGUGGAACUUCUGGUGGAGCGGUGAAAUGCGUAGAUAUCAGAAGGAACGCCGGCGGCGAAAGCGGCUCUCUGGCCCGUAACUGACGCUGAGUGUGCGAAAGCUAGGGGAGCAAACGGGAUUAGAUACCCCGGUAGUCCUAGCCGUAAACGAUGGGCACUAAGUAGAGGGGUUUU